CCUACGGGAGGCAGCAGUGGGGAAUAUUGCACAAUGGGCGAAAGCCUGAUGCAACGACGCCGCGUGAGGGAUGACGGCCUUCGGGUUGUAAACCUCUUUCAGCAGGGAAGAAGCGAAAGUGACGGUACCUGCAGAAGAAGCGCCGGCUAACUACGUGCCAGCAGCCGCGGUAAUACGUAGGGCGCAAGCGUUGUCCGGAAUUAUUGGGCGUAAAGAGCUCGUAGGCGGCUUGUUGCGUCGGUUGUGAAAGCCCGGGGCUUAACCCCGGGUCUGCAGUCGAUACGGGCAGGCUAGAGUGUGGUAGGGGAGAUCGGAAUUCCUGGUGUAGCGGUGAAAUGCGCAGAUAUCAGGAGGAACACCGGUGGCGAAGGCGGAUCUCUGGGCCAUUACUGACGCUGAGGAGCGAAAGCGUGGGGAGCGAACAGGAUUAGAUACCCUGGUAGUCCACGCCGUAAACGUUGGGAACUAGGUGUUGGCGACAUUCCACGUCGUCGGUGCCGCAGCUAACGCAUUAAGUUCCCCGCCUGGGGAGUACGGCCGCAAGGCUAAACUCAAAGGAAUUGACGG
This 567-nucleotide ribosomal RNA is filed under the name uncultured bacterium. RNAcentral's name for it is "bacterial SSU rRNA". It matches the Rfam family "Bacterial small subunit ribosomal RNA", at positions 338 to 916 of the family's 1533-position model. The record is from RNAcentral.